This 659-nucleotide ribosomal RNA is filed under the name uncultured fungus. RNAcentral describes it as "eukaryotic LSU rRNA". It matches the Rfam family "Eukaryotic large subunit ribosomal RNA", at positions 24 to 664 of the family's 3401-position model. Lineage: Eukaryota; Fungi. The record is from RNAcentral.
CCCGCUGAACUUAAGCAUAUCAAUAAGCGGAGGAAAAGAAACUAACAAGGAUUCCCCUAGUAACUGCGAGUGAAGCGGGAAAAGCUCAAAUUUAAAAUCUGGCGGUCUUGCGGCCGUCCGAGUUGUAAUCUGGAGAAGCGUUUAUCCGCGUCGGACCGUGUACAAGUCUUCUGGAAGGGAGCGUCGUAGAGGGUGAGAAUCCCGUCUUUGACACGGACAACCGGUGCUUUUGUGAUGCGCUCUCGAAGAGUCGAGUUGUUUGGGAAUGCAGCUCAAAAUGGGUGGUAAAUUCCAUCUAAAGCUAAAUAUUGGCGAGAGACCGAUAGCGAACAAGUACCGUGAGGGAAAGAUGAAAAGCACUUUGGAAAGAGAGUUAAACAGUACGUGAAAUUGCUGAAAGGGAAACGCUUGAAGUCAGUCGCGUUGGCCAGGACUCAGCCUCGCUCUUGCGUGGUGUACUUUCUGGUUGACGGGUCAGCAUCAAUUUUGACUGCUGGAAAAAGGCUUAGGGAAUGUGGCAGCUUCGGCUGUGUUAUAGCCCUUGGUCACAUACAGCGGUUGGGAUUGAGGAACUCAGCACGCCGCAAGGCCGGGUUUCGACCACGUUCGUGCUUAGGAUGCUGGCAUAAUGGCUUUAAGCGACCCGUCUUGAAACACGG